Molecule: ribosomal RNA, 418 nt
Filed under: uncultured bacterium
Lineage: Bacteria
Description: bacterial SSU rRNA
Rfam family: Bacterial small subunit ribosomal RNA
Source: RNAcentral
GGGGGAAUAUUGGGCAAUGGGCGAAAGCCUGACCCAGCAACGCCGCGUGAAGGAAGAAGGCCCUCGGGUUGUAAACUUCUUUUGUCAGGGACGAAGCAAGUGACGGUACCUGACGAAUAAGCCACGGCUAACUACGUGCCAGCAGCCGCGGUAAUACGUAGGUGGCAAGCGUUAUCCGGAUUUACUGGGUGUAAAGGGCGUGUAGGCGGGAGUGCAAGUCAGAUGUGAAAACUAUGGGCUCAACCCAUAGCCUGCAUUUGAAACUGUACUUCUUGAGUGAUGGAGAGGCAGGCGGAAUUCCCUGUGUAGCGGUGAAAUGCGUAGAUAUAGGGAGGAACACCAGUGGCGAAGGCGGCCUGCUGGACAUUAACUGACGCUGAGGCGCGAAAGCGUGGGGAGCAAACAGGAUUAGAUACCC